RNAcentral lists this ribosomal RNA (492 nucleotides) under uncultured bacterium. RNAcentral describes it as "partial 16S ribosomal RNA". It matches the Rfam family "Bacterial small subunit ribosomal RNA", at positions 30 to 507 of the family's 1533-position model. The record is from RNAcentral.
AUUGAACGCUGGCGGUAGGCCUAACACAUGCAAGUCGAACGGCAGCAGAGUAAAGGUUUGCUCUUACCGGUGGCGUGGGGGAGACGGGUGAGGUGUCCGUCGGACUCUACGAUUUCGUGGGGGAUAUCGUAGGAACACUUACUCUAACACCGCAUACGACCAACGGGUGAAAGCAGGGGAUCUUCGCAUCUUGCCAGAUUGAAUGAGCCGAUGUGGGAUUAGCUAGUUGGCGGGGUAAAGGCCCACCAAGGCGACGAUCCGUAGCUGGUCUGAGAGGAUGACCAGCCACACUGGAACUGAGACACGGUCCAGACUCCUACGGGAGGCAGCAGUGGGGAAUAUUGGACAAUGGGCGCAAGCCUGAUGCAGCCAUGCCGCGUGUAUGAAGAAGGCCUUCGGGUUGUAAAGCCCUUUUGGCGGGGAGGAAAAGAAGAAGGUUAAUACCUCGCUGUACUGACGUUACCCAAAGAAUAAGCACCGGCUAACUUCGUG